CCUACGGGAGGCAGCAGUAGGGAAUCUUCCACAAUGGACGAAAGUCUGAUGGAGCAACGCCGCGUGAGUGAAGAAGGGUUUCGGCUCGUAAAGCUCUGUUGGUAGUGAAGAAAGAUAGAGGUAGUAACUGGCCUAUAUUUGACGUUAAUUACUUAGAAAGUAACGGCUAACUACGUGCCAGCAGCCGCGGUAAUACGUAGGUGGCAAGCGUUGUCCGGAUUAUUGGGCGUAAAGCGAGUGCAGGCGGUUCAAUAAGUCUGAUGUGAACGCCUUCGGCUCAACCGGAGAAUUGGAUCAGUAACUGUUGAACUUGAGUGCAGGAGAGGUGAGUGGAACUCCAUGUGUAGCGGUGAAAUGCGUAGAUAUAUGGAAGAACACCAGUGGCGAAGGCGGCUCUCUGGUCUGCAACUGACGCUGAGGCUCGAAAGCAUGGGUAGCGAACAGGAUUAGAUACCCUAGUAGUC
Molecule: ribosomal RNA, 464 nt
Filed under: uncultured bacterium
Lineage: Bacteria
Description: partial 16S ribosomal RNA
Rfam family: Bacterial small subunit ribosomal RNA
Source: RNAcentral